RNAcentral lists this unclassified non-coding RNA (367 nucleotides) under uncultured Rhodocollybia. Its description in RNAcentral is "sequence contains ITS2". The stretch from base 1 to 52 matches the Rfam family "5.8S ribosomal RNA", at positions 103 to 154 of the family's 154-position model. The record is from RNAcentral. Lineage: Eukaryota; Fungi; Basidiomycota; Agaricomycetes; Agaricales; Tricholomataceae.
AACGCACCUUGCGCCCUCUGGUAUUCCGGAGGGCAUGCCUGUUUGAGUGUCAUUAAAUUCUCAACUUCAAAAGUUUUUAUUAACUUAUUGAAGCUUGGAUGUGGAGGCUUGUUGGCGUCUUAGAUGUUCAGCUCCUCUUAAAUGCAUUAGUGGAAUUCCCGUUUGGUUGGUCCAUCUUGGUGUGAUAAUUAUCUACGCUUUGCUUGGUUCAACUGUCAGGUGUGCUUAGGCUAGAUCCUGGUUGUGAUAUCGCAUUAAGUUGCUUUAUCUGAAUGUGGGAAAUUUAUCUGCUUUCUAACUGUCUGUUGUUCAGCCAAUUUAUUGACUAUUUGACCUCAAAUCAGGUAGGACUACCCGCUGAACUUAA